This is a long non-coding RNA of Rhodamnia argentea, 1181 nucleotides long. RefSeq lists it as uncharacterized. The record is from RefSeq and is a predicted model, not a curated record. Lineage: Eukaryota; Viridiplantae; Streptophyta; Magnoliopsida; Myrtales; Myrtaceae. The transcript has 2 exons.
CAUCAAGCUCUCUUUUUACUAGUGCCUGAAUCUUGUGGCUCUUCAGCCAGUAAGAACUUCUUCACUUUCUGUCAUGAGAGGGGAAAAAAAAUUAGGAGGGAAUAAAGAUAAGGAACAGCUCAUUUUCAUACAACGACAGAUGUAAAGGGAAGGAUUUGUCUUGCUUUUUCCCUGCCACUUUACAAUAAACUAGAACACAUCACAUCAUUGUCUAAAUCUAAGAGGAGAGCUACCAAUAAUAAUGAUCCACACAAAAGAGCUAGCUGCAAACAGAACGGCUAAGCGAAUUCAUAACCUAAGCUUUCCUUAACCCGAUUAGAAAACUGAAACGGCACAUGACAUGGCUAACGGUGAUGUGUCAGAGAAAUAGAACAGCAUAGAAAAGAGCUGAUCUCCCAGAAUGUAUGUGAAUCAGAUUUUUCCCAAUUAAAAGGAAUCAGAAACAAAACAGCAUCGUCUAACUAUUGCUGAUGUGCGCACGGAGUCUAUUUGGCUCUUGCAGAUGUGUCUUUCUACACACGUCAGCUCCAUUAGCCGCAUCAUCAUGUGCCACAUCAGCUUGCAUAGAUGAAAAACUUAAUGAUGGGUAUCUUUGUCCCUCCGGUAAAGGUUCGUGAGUAUUUUUGGAUUGGUUGAAACAUCAGGGUGUUUUUGUCCUCCAGAUGAAGGUUCAUCUGACUUUUUGAGACUUGGCUCGAUUUAAUACUAACAUCAGACUUCUCACAUCUAUGUGUCAUCUAAAUUAGCUGAAACUGAAUAUUGAUGACAACGAGAUCAUGAUUAAAGCAUGAGGCAAUAGACACUUUCUUUUUCUUUUUUUUUGGGUCGGAGAGACCAUAAAACAUUCGAUGGCACAUUCACCAGAAGGAAUCCAAGAAGCAGCGAGUUCAGUAUAACUGUCUGUGGACAGAAUAAUGAGAAGGAACUGGCAGACAUGUAACAAAUAGUAAGCAUGCAAGUAGAAAAGGCCAAAAUGUAAGCUUAUUGAUGUGCAUGAAUAAAAUGAGACUGAACCAUAAUAGGUUCUUCUCUUACCCUUUCCAUUAAAACCAAACAAGAUAUUCAGACUACGUAAUUCUUCUCAGGACAUACUCAUCUAUUUAUCUAUUUCCCUUGUACUAAUGAGUAAUGACAGGACCAAAUGGAUUGGAAAGUGCAUAACAAAUAGAGGCAAUCAUAGA